AAAAAACACACUUUGAGAAACACUGGAUUAAAUUGUGAAACAAAUUGUAUCUAGGCAAUGGUAUAUAUCUCAAUUUAGCACUAAAAUGUGAUUGAGCUUUUAAAUAAAAUAAUUACUGAUUAGCGGAUGUUUGCACUUAGCUAUUUGGAUAAAGUUUCUUUCACGGAAACUAACAAAAAACUAGAACGGAAAACUAUGCUAACCAGGAGUCUCAGUUGCCCACACCUGUGAGAAUGGCAUCCUAUGAAGCAGCUCCUCCAGUUUAGAUGCUUUCACACAGUGCUUCUCAACCCUAACUCCAAAUUAGCCUCAUCUGGGGCUCUUAAACAUCCCAGUGCCCGGGAUCCACCUCAAACAAAUUAAAUCUGAACAUUUCGGGGUGGAGCCCGAGUAACAGCAAUUUUAAAAAGCUCACCAACCAAUGCUAAUGUGCAGCCAAGGUCAAGAACCACCAGCUCUAAUGAGAACUGAGGGGCUAGUCUUGCAAAACCAGCUCUGGAAAGCAAAGGCAAGCAUGACCACCUGGUUCUCCAAUGGCACGCAGGCUGGACCUUAGAAAUAACUGGGCAUCUGGUGAAAAGACCAGCAUUUCAGAACGCACCCUGGAAGCGAGCUGGUCUGGGGUUCUCAAACGUGGAUUUUGCAGGUGGGACCUCUGAAACAACAACAGGCAGCUGCCUUUAGCUCCCACAUUGUAUGGCCUAACCCUGACCUCCUUCAAGGAAAAACUCCGCCUCCAUGCAGGCCAUAUGAGAAGUCUGACUUCAUGCCCAGCUCCAGAAUGUUCCAAAGACAUGGCCACAUGCUACAAGCCCAGGAAGAAGGCCACCACAGAGGCCAGCAAAGCCAAGAGCAUCUCAGGAAAAUGGGGCAAGAGCUCCUGGAUUAAGCCAGCACUGAAGCCCGCCCUAUCUCUGGACUUCCAAUCACAUAGCUCAAUAAACGUCUUUCUUCUUUAAG
This 960-nucleotide long non-coding RNA is filed under the name Equus caballus (horse). RNAcentral's name for it is "lncRNA (ENSECAG00000054886.1)". Lineage: Eukaryota; Metazoa; Chordata; Mammalia; Perissodactyla; Equidae. The record is from RNAcentral.